RNAcentral lists this ribosomal RNA (617 nucleotides) under uncultured bacterium. RNAcentral describes it as "bacterial SSU rRNA". It matches the Rfam family "Bacterial small subunit ribosomal RNA", at positions 8 to 607 of the family's 1533-position model. The record is from RNAcentral.
AGAGUUUGAUCCUGGCUCAGGAUGAACGCUGGCGGCGUGCCUAAUACAUGCAAGUCGAACGCACAGCGAAAGGUGCUUGCACCUUUCAAGUGAGUGGCGAACGGGUGAGUAACACGUGGACAACCUGCCUCAAGGCUGGGGAUAACAUUUGGAAACAGAUGCUAAUACCGAAUAAAACUCAGUGUCGCAUGACACAAAGUUAAAAGGCGCUUUGGCGUCACCUAGAGAUGGAUCCGCGGUGCAUUAGUUAGUUGGUGGGGUAAAGGCCUACCAAGACAAUGAUGCAUAGCCGAGUUGAGAGACUGACCGGCCACAUUGGGACUGAGACACGGCCCAAACUCCUACGGGAGGCUGCAGUAGGGAAUCUUCCACAAUGGGCGAAAGCCUGAUGGAGCAACGCCGCGUGUGUGAUGAAGGCUUUCGGGUCGUAAAGCACUGUUGUAUGGGAAGAACAGCUAGAAUAGGGAAUGAUUUUAGUUUGACGGUACCAUACCAGAAAGGGACGGCUAAAUACGUGCCAGCAGCCGCGGUAAUACGUAUGUCCCGAGCGUUAUCCGGAUUUAUUGGGCGUAAAGCGAGCGCAGACGGUUGAUUAAGUCUGAUGUGAAAGCCCGGAG